This 536-nucleotide long non-coding RNA is filed under the name Medicago truncatula (barrel medic). RNAcentral's name for it is "long non-coding RNA (MTRU_LNC003740)". The record is from RNAcentral. Lineage: Eukaryota; Viridiplantae; Streptophyta; Magnoliopsida; Fabales; Fabaceae.
UACUAUAUUGAAUUUACUUCUUUUUAGUUUAUUACUACAUAUGCAUAUAAAUAUAUAAAUAAGCAAUCCAAAACAUUUUUCUUCUCUGAAACCUUUCAUAAAAUGUCUCUUGGUAAGUACUCUACUGCACAUCUUUCUCAAAUAAAUGGAAAUCUAUAUAGAUUUUUUUCUCUUCAAUUUGUCUUCAUAAAAUAUUCAUAGAGAAUACAUAGAUAUCAUAUUAUAGUCAUGGUUUCUUUAAAAAAUAUAUAUUAUAGUCAUUGUUCUAUUUGCUUUGAUUUUCUAUCUUUAGGCGGUAUCUUUUUUAUUUAUUUUUUUGUCUUAGUGUCGUGUUUGAUUUAGGUUGAAAGAUUAAUUUUGAUCAAGUGUAAAUUCAAACAAUGAUUUUGACGUUGUCAAUAUUACAGAUCUGAAGACAUGAAUAUUCUAGAGACUUAAAUAUAAUCAUAUUUAAGGCAUAUGUAUUAUAUUGUUUUAUGCUAUUAACAUACAUUUUGUUAUUAUUUGCACAUUUAUCCCUUUUAUUUUUGGCGACU